CGCUGACAGUUUUUUUACUAGUGAACGACUGACGUUUGACAUUCGAUUGAGAGUGUUCUGUGUUCCAUUUGUUUAUUUUUUUAUUCUUUGUUUAUAUAAUUUAUAACCUAGACAGUUUUGUUUUUAAAUAAAACUGAAACUGUGUCUAAGCUAAAAUGGAUAAUAUUCUUGAAGAAUUUUUGUUUGGGGACGAAAUUAGCAAAUGCCGUUAUACAUUUAGCAGAUGUACCUGCCUCACAAUUAUUCCAGAAGGAUGAGAUGAAAUUAAAUAUAUAUAAACCAUAAUUCAAUAUCCAAUUUAGAGAACAUUUUCGUAUGUCCAGAACUACUUUCCAGGAACUAUUUAAUUGUAUUGGUCAUAUCCACCAAUUUGAAAACAGAAUAAUUCUAUUGGAAAAAAUUAAUGUUUAUGAUGUGGAUGCUAAGUAAACCAGAGAAUUUGUUGCUGGGGAUACGUUUGGUUUGCCAAAGAGCUCUGGACAUAAGAUUUUCACCCAAAUAAUAUAGAAUUACAAAAAAUUGGAAAUAACUAAUCUUGAAUAUCAAUGUGUAUAUUGAGUUUAAUUUUAUUGUAAAUAUUCUAUAAUAUAAUUUUAUUGUAAAUAUUGUAUUAACACAUUUGUGGACACAUCUUCAUAUGCAGACAGUAAUUUCCCUUUGUAAGUACAUGCAUAUUAGUCGUAUCUGCGAAUGGGUUAAUUGUAAAUCGUAAUCAAUAAAAAUUUUUUGUGAAUCAAAAAACUGGUUUGUUUGAAAAUAAAUGUAGUACAAAUGUG
Diabrotica virgifera virgifera (western corn rootworm) is the source of this 776-nucleotide long non-coding RNA. RefSeq lists it as uncharacterized. NCBI's taxonomy places the organism in Eukaryota, Metazoa, Arthropoda, Insecta, Coleoptera, Chrysomelidae. The transcript is spliced from 2 exons. The record is from RefSeq and is a predicted model, not a curated record.